GUAGCAGUGCACUUAAUGAGCAAGAAAGGAAUUCACAAAAAACAACUGAAUCAGACUUGAUUGAGCGUGGCUUUUCUGAAAUUAGGGAGAUUAAAGAAAUGAAUGCUGCUACCAGAAAAGCAAAGAGUAGAAGGGUUGGAAAGGAGAUAAGAGAAAAUGUUGACUGGGAUGCCUUGAGAAAACAGGCAGAAGCAAAUGGGAGGAAAAGACAAAGA
This 215-nucleotide unclassified non-coding RNA is filed under the name Hevea brasiliensis (rubber tree). The record is from RNAcentral. Lineage: Eukaryota; Viridiplantae; Streptophyta; Magnoliopsida; Malpighiales; Euphorbiaceae.